This 496-nucleotide ribosomal RNA is filed under the name uncultured bacterium. RNAcentral's name for it is "bacterial SSU rRNA". It matches the Rfam family "Bacterial small subunit ribosomal RNA", at positions 29 to 517 of the family's 1533-position model. The record is from RNAcentral.
AGUGAACGCUGGCGGCAGGCCUAAUACAUGCAAGUCGAACGGCAGCACAGUGGAGCUUGCUCCAUGGGUGGCGAGUGGCGGACGGGUGAGGAAUACAUGGGAAUCUGCCCAGUCGUGGGGGAUAACGUAUGGAAACGUACGCUAAUACCGCAUGCGCCCUUCGGGGGAAAGUCGGGGACCGCAAGGCCUGACGCGAUUGGAUGAGCCCAUGUUCGAUUAGCUAGUUGGCGGGUAACGGCCCACCAAGGCGACGAUCGAUAGCUGGUCUGAGAGGAUGAUCAGCCACACUGGAACUGAGACACGGUCCAGACUCCUACGGGAGGCAGCAGUAGGGAAUAUUGGACAAUGGGCGCAAGCCUGAUCCAGCCAUGCCGCGUGAGUGAAGAAGGCCCUCGGGUUGUAAAGCUCUUUGUUGGGAAGAAAAGCAGUUGGUUAAUACCCGAUUGUUCUGACGGUACCCAAGAAUAAGCACCGGCUAACUUCGUGCCAGCAGCCG